Delphinapterus leucas (beluga whale) is the source of this 4829-nucleotide non-coding RNA. NCBI's taxonomy places the organism in Eukaryota, Metazoa, Chordata, Mammalia, Artiodactyla, Monodontidae. The record is from RefSeq and is a predicted model, not a curated record.
GUGGAUUCUUAACCGCUGCGCCACCAGGGAAGCCCCUGAAUCAGUUUCUUAAUAACCAGUAGGGCCUUGACUAGAAAGGAUUAUACAAAUAUCAUGUUAAGUGCUGUGAUUAUAGCACCUAUAGGAAGAGUGAUGAUUUACUUGGUAUUUGAGCACCUGCCACAUACUACACACUAUUCUAAGCACUUAGGAUAUGGUGGCAAAUAAGACAGAUGUUGCCCUUACAGGGUUUAAAUUCUAGUGGAGAAGAUAGAGAAUAAAUAGGUUCACAUAAGUAAUAUACUUUCAGAUAGUGGUUCGUACUGUGAAGCUAGGAAGAAAGUAAAAUAGGUAAGGGGCUAGUGACUGGGGUUAUGUGUGGAGUUAGGUGGGAUGGUCAGGGAAGAUCUCUGAGGAAGGUGAAGGAGGCUACUAUGUGCAAAUGCUAUGUGAAGGCAGUGGAAGUACUUUCCAAGCAGUGUAGGUGAAAUCUAUAUUUUGGCUGAGCUGCGCAGCAUAGUUCUACUAGGGAGCGAACCCUCUCCCUUUGCAGUGGAAGCGUGGAGUUUUAACCACUGGACCACCAGGGAGGUCCCAUGAAUGUGAAAUUCAGGCAGAGGCCAAAUUGUGUGGAUUUUGGGAGGCUGGGAAGAUGGGAGUCAUAUUGUAGAGGGUAUUGCAUAUCAUAACAAGAAAUUUGAAAGUUUAUUUACUGUUUUUAAUCAGGAGGAAACAUCAGACUCAACUAUGUGGUUUAUUCAAAGUGUCCAUGUCCAGGCAUCACUAAGGUCAUUCUGAAUCAGUCUUGAGUUGGGAGUCUAUUCUGGGCAAUGGGGAGCCUCUGGAGGUUGGUAAACAAAGAAUUGCACGGUCAGAUCUAUGCUUAAAAAGCUUAUUCAAGAAAUCCUUAAAUUAGAGGCCAUACCUUUUACGUAAACUCAGUGGCUGAUUUAUACUAUGCAUGCAAUAAAUAACAGUUGAAUGAAUGAAAGAAUGUAUUGAAGAGAGUAGAAGCUGAGAGACCAUUUAUGUGUAGUAGAUUGAUGGCUUGCAAUAGGCCAGGAGAGGUGUUUUUAGUGUUGGGGCCUCUGUCUCCUUUGCUAAUUUGGUGUUGGGGCAGUCUGGAAGAUGGAGGCACAAAGAGAUAUUACUACCCAAUUUCUGCUGAGUAUGACUGGACUCAGAAUUUCACUUACGUUAUCUCAUUUAAUCUUCAUAGGCUUCUGCUCUUUGCUAACUGCUUGACUGUACUGCUAGAGUAGAAUGGCGAGAUGUUUAUGUUCAGCAUAUUGCUGUGGGUUUUUGUACUCAGUACCUAUUAAUUGAGCUGCAUCUUUAUGUUAAAUGUUGGGGGCGGGGGAGAGAGGAGCACAUGUGUCUGUGUACAGCGGUUCUGUCUAGCCACUGGCUUCAACGUGUGCAAACCGUGUGUAAUGGGCCCCACCACUAACAAACCAGGACAUUUGAGCAGAGUGGUUUAUAGUUUAUAAUUGGCUUCCUAUUACUGUUGGCUGAUUCUCCUGCACAGAGAGUAUUACUCCAGGAUUGGUAUUUGAUUUAAGAAAUUUUCAAAUUGAUUUUAUCUUCAGUGCAUUAAUGCGUGGCCUAAAUUCUUGCAGAGCCAUUAGAUAACCAGCCUGGACAUGCUUUAGCAAUUGUAACUGGAUCUGAGCUGGCAGUGCUACAGCUUUUAUUCAGCAUAGAUAAAUCACUUUUCUGAAAACUCUUUUCUGCUUAAGCCCUGUGACUUAUUUUUUAGGACACCUCAAGUUUAGGCCCCUUGAAACUGGAAUAUAUUCCCCAAAUCAUGCUAAGACACACAAACAGGAAUUUGUUAACACAAGUAGAGUUAAUCUCUAUCUUCCUGUCAGAACAGAACACAAAUAUUCAAGGAAUGGUGUGGAAAUCAGCGUAAUUUUCAAGCGUGCACAAUUGUAAUGCCUUUUAAAAUCUGGAAAUGUGAAAUGUGACUCCAGUAAUGAAAAUGCUAUAAACGUAACUGAGUACAUGGAAAACUGGAGGAUGUUCUGCAAUUUCAUGAGGAUUAGCAUAGGUAAAUGUUUUUCGUGAAACAUUUUUUUUCAGCUCCAGAAGUGCAGAAUAGAUCACAGCUGCAUGAAAAUACCAAUCAUCUUCUAAUGCUUUUAUGCAAAUGAUUAUAUUUGACUUUCACUUAGAGUUGCCAUUAACACCUGGAACCCUAAGAUUGAUAACAGGUAAAAUUUUAAUGAAUACACAAAUUAGAGAUUUGAAUCAUGUUUAGAUUAAUUUAUAGUACCUUUAUUCAUUACUGCAAAUCCUCUUGAAAUCUAAAAAUCACAGGAUGAGACAGAAAAUAGAGAAGAGGAGACAGCCUUUGAACUUAUCAAUUUUUUUGAGUGGUGAAAAAGGAUGACUUGGAAAUACUAAACCCUGCAAGUGUUUUUUUCUGCCCUUUGCAAUAAUUUGCCCAGAUGCUAGGCCUGCGUAUCCUGCAGAAGACUUUUAUUGUCUCAUGCCCUGAGAUAACACUGGUCUUCUUUUUUUUUUUUUUUAAUGAUUUUUCUUCCUAUGCACACUCCUUGCUUUAAAAAAUAUUUUUUAAAAAAGUGAAAGUCAAAAUUGUCUUGUUUUAGACGUUUUGGGAAAUACAGAGGAUGUGAAGAAAAAAAACAUUGUCCUGACAUCCAGGGACAACCAUUAUUAUAUGGUGUGUCUUUUCCCCUCCUUACCCCCAUGUAUAAUUGUAUUUAUAUAAUUAUGUAUCUUCCUUUUCCACUUACAAAGCCAAAAUAGUAUUUACAUUUAUUGAAAGUUUACCAUGUGCCAGGCACUGUGCGUAGUGUUUUAAGUGUAUUAUCUAUUGAGUGGUAGAUAAUAUUACCUUCAUUUUACAGAUUAGGACAUGGAAGCUCAGAAAGGGUGAGGAAACUGCAAUUCACAAAGGUUAUUUGUCAACAUCAUCCAGCAAGUGACUGACAACACUGGGAUUUGAAUGGAGCUCUGCCUGGUUUGCCUGUUGUCGGCUGAGCCCCAAGAGAAGCACACUGGGCCCACAAAGCUUUCUUUCCAGCUGAGGCUUAGAGGUUGCCAAUCCAACCUGGAGUCUUGUGCUUCUUUGCCAAACAAUGCAGGUGCUCCGUGGGUCCAGGCCCAUGGCUUCGUUGAGUACACAUCCCUGGCAGCAGCAGCCACUAAGAGGUGAUUCUUUGUCCACUACCCAGUUGGGGAACUGCUCGUCUCAGUACAGAACCUGCUUCCCCCUGCUUAUACCUUUUAAAAAGCAUGUUGUUAGGUUCAUACAAAUUUAGAAUUGUUAUAUCUUCCCGGUAAAUUGGAUUUUUAUCAUUAUGAAAUGACCACCCCUCUCCAUUAUGAGAUGUUUUGGGCUUUAAAGUCUAUUUUAUUCUGUAACGAAUCUAGCCAUGUCAGCUUUCUUUUGUUUAGUAUUUGUAUAACAUGCUUUUUCUACCUUUCCACUGUCAACCUUUUUUGUAUAUUUAUUCUUUAGGUAUAUUUCUUAUAGACAAUAUAUAGUUGGAUUUUUAUUAUCUACUCUGGCAAUCUUUGCCUUUCAAAUGAAAUAUUUAUUUUUUAAACCUCAAGAUAAUCUUACCAUUAUUUACAGUCAAUAUUCAUUUAGACGUUUUACUUGGGAUCAUUUUUUGUCUGCCUGUAAUAAAACAUUUAGAAUGUCUUUAGUGUAUUUGAUCUUCUAGUGGCAAACUGUUUCAGUUUUGUUUGUCUGAAAAUGUCACCUUUAUGGUUGGUUUUCUCCUCAAUGCCUAACAUGUUGGAAGAAAACAAAUGUCAAUUCAGAAUUCUACACCCAGCAAAAAUAUCCUUCAGGAAUGAAGACAAAAUAAAGACAUAUCAUCAUUCCACUGAACCCUUAGUUCUUUCCACCUGCUCUUCCCUACCAAUCCCAAGAAUCUGGGCAGAGACCACAAAGAUAUUGAGCUUAUCUAAGACUCAUCUUUUUACUUCAUCUCAUAUCCUGAUUUCCCGUUAAGUCCUGUAAACUGUAUUACAAUCUAACCACUUCUUACUUCCUCCACUUCUACUACCUUAGCUUAAACUACUGUCAUCUCUCACCCAAACUGUAGCAAUAGCUUCCUAAUUGGUCUCUCUGCUUCCUCUCUUACCACCCACAUGAUGUUGACACAACAUCCUUUUAUAAUGCAAAGGAGAUAUUGUUAUUUUCUGCUCAGAACCCUCGGAUGUCUUCCCAUCACAUUUAGCAUCAAAUGCAAACUCUGUGCAUAGUGUCCGUGAUGUAGCUUCUCCCUACCUCUCUCACUUCAUUUCCUACCACACUCCUCCUUGUUCACUGAGCUCCAGCCACACUGGACUCCUGCUGUUCCUCACUCAUGCCCAGUUUGCUUCUAUCUCAGGAUCCUCCCAGGUACUCCUGCUUCUGCCUGGAGUGUUCCCCCCAGAGGGAGCCCGCCUCCCUCCCUCACUUCAUUCCCACCUCUGCUCAAAUGUUAACUCAUCAGCGAGGGUUUCCCUGAACUCCCUAAAAUAAAAUUCUCUCAUUCUCUAUCCUCUACUCUGCUUUAAUUUUCUUCCUAACAAUGAUAACUUCCUGACCGUAUGUCAUAUGUACUAGAAUAUAAACUCAAGGAGGACAAUAACUUUAUUUUAUUCAUUGUAUUCGUCCCUUGUGUCUCAAAUAGUCCCUGGCAGGGAGGAGGUUUUCAAUAAAUACCUGCUGAAUAAAUGGAUCUGCACAGCUGUCUAUGUUAUAAUGAGAAUGCAUAUUAAAAUAUUUUAAUGCAAAUAUAGCCCAAGUAUCUAACCUCAUCAGCUUGUUACUACAAAGUUGGGUUUAAUUGCCUGAUUGCCUUUUCAUAUUCAACCUGUAAUGA